UUGGUCAAUGGCCGAAAGGCUGAACCAGUAACUCCCAAGAAUGUAAGUUAGUAGAAAUACUAUUACGAUUAAUUCGUAUAAAAUUCUAAAUAGAAUAAUGAUAAUGACAAUUUUCUAUUUAUAAGUCUUGACCAAACUACGUGCCAGCAGUCGCGGUAAUACGUAGGAGACUAGUGUUAAUCAUCUUUAUUAGGUUUAAAGGGUACCUAGACGGUUUACUAGACUCUAAAGGAGUACAAUAAACUAGAGUUUUAUGGAAGAAGGAUGAAUUUUUGGAGUAGUGAUUGAAUAUGAUGAUACCAGAAAGACAGGUAACGGCGAAGGCAACCUUCUAUGUAAAAACUGACGUUGAGGGACGAAGGCUUGGGUAGCAAUAAGGAUUAGAUACCCUAGUAGCCCAAGCAGACAAUGAUGAAUGUCAUAGACUAGAGAUAUAUUUAGUCUAUAAAUGAAAGUGUAAGCAUUCCACCUCAAGAGUAAUAUGGCAACAUAUAAACUGCCCUCCUUCCCCGUUUCUGAGACCAGUAGUGAAGUAU
This 536-nucleotide ribosomal RNA is filed under the name Aspergillus stellatus. RNAcentral describes it as "SSU rRNA". It matches the Rfam family "Bacterial small subunit ribosomal RNA", at positions 364 to 940 of the family's 1533-position model. The record is from RNAcentral. Lineage: Eukaryota; Fungi; Ascomycota; Eurotiomycetes; Eurotiales; Aspergillaceae.